GCCGGAGGGUGCAAGCGUUAUUCGGAAUCAUUGGGCGUAAAGAGCGUGUAGGCGGCUGGUUAAGUCAGGCGUGAAAGCCCAGGGCUCAACCCUGGAAGUGCGCUUGAUACUGGCUGGCUUGAGUUCGGGAGAGGGAAGCGGAAUUCCGGGUGUAGAGGUGAAAUUCGUAGAUAUCCGGAGGAACACAGGUGGCGAAGGCGGCUUCCUGGACCGAAACUGACGCUGAGACGCGAAAGCGUGGGGAGAAAACAGG
This 253-nucleotide ribosomal RNA is filed under the name uncultured bacterium. RNAcentral's name for it is "partial 16S ribosomal RNA". It matches the Rfam family "Bacterial small subunit ribosomal RNA", at positions 524 to 776 of the family's 1533-position model. The record is from RNAcentral.